This 437-nucleotide ribosomal RNA is filed under the name Salmonella enterica. RNAcentral describes it as "bacterial LSU rRNA". It matches the Rfam family "Bacterial large subunit ribosomal RNA", at positions 1108 to 1547 of the family's 2925-position model. Lineage: Bacteria; Pseudomonadati; Pseudomonadota; Gammaproteobacteria; Enterobacterales; Enterobacteriaceae. The record is from RNAcentral.
AGAAGCAGCCAUCAUUUAAAGAAAGCGUAAUAGCUCACUGGUCGAGUCGGCCUGCGCGGAAGAUGUAACGGGGCUAAACCAUGCACCGAAGCUGCGGCAGCGACACUGAUGUGUUGUUGGGUAGGGGAGCGUUCUGUAAGCCGUUGAAGGUGUGUCGUGAGGCAUGCUGGAGGUAUCAGAAGUGCGAAUGCUGACAUAAGUAACGAUAAAGCGGGUGAAAAGCCCGCUCGCCGGAAGACCAAGGGUUCCUGUCCAACGUUAAUCGGGGCAGGGUGAGUCGACCCCUAAGGCGAGGCCGAAAGGCGUAGUCGAUGGGAAACGGGUUAAUAUUCCCGUACUUGGUGUUACUGCGAAGGGGGGACGGAGAAGGCUAUGUUGGCCGGGCGACGGUUGUCCCGGUUUAAGCGUGUAGGUGUGUGUUCCAGGUAAAUCCGGUU